AGGAGGCAGCAGUGGGGAAUUUUGGACAAUGGGCGCAAGCCUGAUCCAGCAAUGCCGCGUGUGUGGAGAAGGCCUUCGGGUUGUAAAGCACUUUUGGCGGGAACGAAACGGUUUGGGCUAAUAUCCUGGGCUAAUGACGGUACCCGCAGAAUAAGCACCGGCUAACUACGUGCCAGCAGCCGCGGUAAUACGUAGGGUGCAAGCGUUAAUCGGAAUUACUGGGCGUAAAGCGUGCGCAGGCGGUUAUGCAAGACCGAUGUGAAAUCCCCGGGCUCAACCUGGGAAUUGCAUUAGUGACUGCAUGGCUAGAGUGUGUCAGAGGGGGGUAGAAUUCCACGUGUAGCAGUGAAAUGCGUAGAGAUGUGGAGGAAUACCGAUGGCGAAGGCAGCCCCCUGGGAUAACACUGACGCUCAUGCACGAAAGCGUGGGGAGCAAACAGGAUUAGAAACCCUGGUAGUCCA
RNAcentral lists this ribosomal RNA (462 nucleotides) under uncultured bacterium. RNAcentral describes it as "bacterial SSU rRNA". It matches the Rfam family "Bacterial small subunit ribosomal RNA", at positions 343 to 797 of the family's 1533-position model. The record is from RNAcentral.